Molecule: ribosomal RNA, 765 nt
Filed under: Triticum aestivum (bread wheat)
Lineage: Eukaryota; Viridiplantae; Streptophyta; Magnoliopsida; Poales; Poaceae
Description: partial small subunit ribosomal RNA
Source: RNAcentral
AUGGAGGAUGGCACGCAAGUGGCUGUCAAACUGCGGUCUGAAUCUUCAGAUCAAGGUGAACAAGAAUUCUUGGCAGAGGCACAAACCUUGGCUAAAAUUCAUCACAAGAAUCUUGUAUCCUUGUUUGGCUACUGCAAGCACAGGGAAUACAUGGCUCUUGUCUACGAGUACAUGGCUCAAGGAGCUCUAGACGAACAUCUUAAUGGGAAAGACAACAACCAAAGUAUUUUAACCUGGAGACAGAGACUUCGUAUUGCCCUGGAAUCUGCGCAAGGGCUUGAGUAUCUACACAAGGGAUGCAAUCCGCCCCUCAUUCACAGGGAUGUGAAAACGUCCAACAUCCUGUUAAAUGCAAACCUGGAGGCUAAAAUUGCUGAUUUUGGCCUGCUCAAGGCUUUCAAUAGCAACAGUGAUACACAUGUCUCCAGUGCAAGGGUGGCUGGUACACUUGGUUACCUUGACCCUGAGGCAACGACACUCUUGAAGGAUCCUGAGCCAACAAGUAUUGUUCAGUGGGUGCGGCAGCGCCUCGCAUGUGGAAACAUCGAGGGUGUGGUGGACGCGCGCAUGCAUGGCGAUCACAACGUCAAUAAUGUGUGGAAAAUUGCAGACACUGCGCUCAAGUGCACUGCUCACAACCCUAUGCAGCGGCCCACGAUGACUGAGGUGGUAGCAGUGCUGCAAGACUGCCUUGAGAUCGAGGUUGCACACAACGAUGUGAACGCAGGGAUUUACUUGGCACGGCUAUGGUCGGUACGACAUUGA